GCUUGUCUCAAAGAUUAAGCCAUGCAUGUCUAAGUAUAAGCAUUAUACAGUGAAACUGCGAAUGGCUCAUUAUAUCAGUUAUAGUUUAUUUGAUAGUCACACUACUUGGAUAACCGUAGUAAUUCUAGAGCUAAUACAUGCACAAAGUCCUGACCUCUGGAAAGGAUGUGUUUAUUAGAUACAACCAACCCUUCGGGUCCCUGGUGAAUCAUAAUAAUUGAGCGAACCGCAUGCUUCGGCGGCGGUGGUUCAUUCAAGUUUCUGCCCUAUCAGCUUUGGAUGGUAGGGUAUUGGCCUACCAUGGCUUUAACGGGUAACGGAGAAUUAGGGUUCGAUUCCGGAGAGGGAGCCUGAGAAAUGGCUACCACAUCCAAGGAAGGCAGCAGG
This 387-nucleotide ribosomal RNA is filed under the name uncultured Bicosoecida. RNAcentral's name for it is "partial small subunit ribosomal RNA". It matches the Rfam family "Eukaryotic small subunit ribosomal RNA", at positions 30 to 432 of the family's 1831-position model. The record is from RNAcentral. Lineage: Eukaryota; Bigyra; Bicosoecida.